This is a long non-coding RNA of Canis lupus familiaris (dog), 2437 nucleotides long. RefSeq lists it as uncharacterized. The record is from RefSeq and is a predicted model, not a curated record. Lineage: Eukaryota; Metazoa; Chordata; Mammalia; Carnivora; Canidae. The transcript has 5 exons.
GCGCCCCGGCGGAGAGCACGUCUCUGGAAGCCAGCGCGGCCCGGCGCCGGGGAGGAGCGAGUGCACGGGGCCGCGCUCCGGGCCGCCUUCCCGGCCUGGGUGCUCGAAUUCAGCUCCGGGCACGUUUGCUUCUAGGUAGUCACGAAGGGAUCGAAGAGGGCCCCAGAACUCGAGGAUUGUCCCUGCUUGGGAGCCCCUUGAAGCCAGCACACGAUUCUUUGGCAGAGUAAUUUCGGAACCUGGCCUGCGCCAGGCCUAACCUCUAGCCUUGUCCUCAACGAGCGCACGAUCGAGUAGCAAAGACAGACAUGUAAACAAAAUUUCGACACAGUGUGAUGACUGCAACGACAACAACAACAAAAGCAUUAUGAGGUUAAAUGUAAAAAGGGCUUUAGAAGUUGGUGUCUGAUGAUAGCACCCUGAAGGGAAGACCACAAACUCCUGGUGAAGUGGUGAUUUUCCAGUCCACUUUACUUUCUUCUACCUACCCUUGAGGUCCAGUUGUCCAGCUCGUCUUUAAAUGUCAUGAGAUAACUUUAACAGCAUGACCACAAAAAAGAAAAAACAGAAGAAGAGGAGGAAGAUGGGGAGAAAAGGAAGAAGAAAACACCCAAAGCAGCAUUACUUUGUGGGGAAGUCUGUCAUCUACUGGAUCCUGAGGAACCUAGACACAGUAGGGAACAAGACGACAGAGAUACUGAGGAUCCGGGUGGCCGUUGAAGGUCCUCUUUCCAGCGCUCUGCCUAGAGAGCAUAGCAGUCGCUUGUGGAUCUGCCAUGCACACCCACGCCGUUCGACUCCACGCGAUGUCGGCGGUGGUCCUUCCGAGAAGCCAGAUCGUUCAGACAACUGGGGUCCUACCUGCAUUACUGAGUCUAUCUAAGGACCGACCGUCAGCCUCACGGGGUGGAAAUGUGUCAAUCCAAGCGCCCAGCCCUAGUGGAAUAUCAGAAAACCGAGUGUAGUGGUUGGAAGAGCAUCAUCUCUUUGCUAAAACUCUUGGGCCAUUCACGUUAUUCAAUCAAGAAACAUUUACUGAAAAAAACACAGGGUGUGAGGACCAUACUAGAUGCGAGGGAUACAAGGCAGACGUGGACCCUGCCUUCCCAGAGUUCAUGGUCUAUUGAAGACAAACAAGUAAACAAUUUAAAUACAGCUAAAAUGACCACAAGGAGUUCUUGACAGGCGUACAACUGAGUGAGGGUUUGAGAUGGCUUUCAUGAGAUGAUGGCGUGAAGAAUCGAUGUUAGAAGGGAAGUGUCUAGGUAAAGGAAACGACAGAUGGAAAAAUCCAAAAAUGAAAUUGCACUGAGCAAUUAGGGAAGUAGUUCUGUGCACCAGGGAUACAGGAGUUGAGGGGAAGAUAGUGGAGAGAGAUGAGACGCAGGUAAGCAGAGAAUCUUGUGAAUCUGGUGGUUUCAAAGUGUGGAGGAGGUGGGUUGUCUCCUGAUAGCCUUAUAUACUACAGAUCCUGUCAGAGCUCAGAGUUCAUUUGUACCAGGUCUCUUCCUAAUACAAGAAUGCUCUAAAUGAGACAUUGACAGGACGUGGUGUAACUGUGUGCAGAACUGGUAUUAGUCCACAAAAUAAUUGAAAAUCAACAAACAGUUACUGAUUAUCCAGUGUGUAUCACGGAAAGCAAUUAGAAUAUAGACUAAACAAUUACCCCAAUUGAUUACCAAAAUAAUUUUUAAAUCAGGUAAAAAUUGGAAAUAUUUCUGAAAAAAGUUGUUCCCCGUAGUAGUAACUUCCAGUGUUCACUCUUCUAAAACAAGUAUGCCAUUUACAAAGUAGUUUUACAUGCAUUUUGAUUUCCCCAACAACCCCAGGAAAAAAAUAAAAUAGGUGAUAUUAGUCCCCAAACUCUUCAGCUGAAGACACUGAAAUUUUUUUUAAGGUGAGGAGAGGGGAGAAAAAAGAAAAAAACAGAUGUAUUAUCCAAAGACAAUCUGCCAGGAAGAAAUAUAAUCAGGACUCAAGCCCCCCUUCUGCUCAUUACAGCACCUCCUACUGUCUCCUGUGGCAAUGUUAGAUUGUUAGAUGUUAAGUUUAGAAAGGCUGCUGGUAGCAAGUCUAAGUGCUUUUGCAAUUUAUUUAAUAUUUCAAUACCAUUUGUUCACAGUUGACUGUAUUAUUUCUGAUUUUCACCUUCUUUUACAUCUAAUAGUCUACUAGAUUCUUUUCUGCAAUAUCUAAGUGGAUUUUACAUCUAAUAGUCUACUAGAUUCUUUUCUGCAAUAUCUAAGUGGAUUGUUUUGAAAUCAAAUGAGAUAUUAUUUACGGAAAAACAUUCAAUAAGGUGUUUUCCUUGCUCCUUAAAUAAUAGUUGUUAAUGUCAUUAAGCUUCAGUAAAAAUUCUGUCCAAGAUUUUAGAAUGAAAUAAAGGUUUAAAAAUAUGAGCUUUUUAAAGAUUUUAUUUAUUUAUUCAUGACAGACA